GAUGAACGCUAGCGGGAGGCCUAACACAUGCAAGCCGAGCGGUAUUGUUUCUUCGGAAAUGAGAGAGCGGCGUACGGGUGCGGAACACGUGUGCAACCUGCCUUUAUCUGGGGGAUAGCCUUUCGAAAGGAAGAUUAAUACUCCAUAACAUAUUGAUUGGCAUCAAUUAAUAUUGAAAGCUCCGGCGGAUAGAGAUGGGCACGCGCAAGAUUAGCUAGUUGGUGAGGUAACGGCUCACCAAGGCGAUGAUCUUUAGGGGGCCUGAGAGGGUGAUCCCCCACACUGGUACUGAGACACGGACCAGACUCCUACGGGAGGCAGCAGUGAGGAAUAUUGGUCAAUGGGUGCAAGCCUGAACUAGCCAUCCCGCGUGAAGGACGACUGCCCUAUGGGUUGUAAACUUCUUUUGUAUAGGGAUAAACCUACCCUCGUGAGGGUAGCUGAAGGUACUAUACGAAUAAGCACCGGCUAACUCCGUGCCAGCAGCCGCGGUAAUACGGAGGGUGCAAGCGUUAUCCGGAUUUAUUGGGUUUAAAGGGUCCGUAGGCGGACUUAUAAGUCAGUGGUGAAAGCCUGUCGCUUAACGAUAGAACUGCCAUUGAUACUGUAAGUCUUGAGUAUAUUUGAGGUAGCUGGAAUAAGUAGUGUAGCGGUGAAAUGCAUAGAUAUUACUUAGAACACCAAUUGCGAAGGCAGGUUACCAAGAUAUAACUGACGCUGAGGGACGAAAGCGUGGGGAGCGAACAGGAUUAGAUACCCUGGUAGUCCACGCCGUAAACGAUGCUAACUCGUUUUUGGGCUUUAGGGUUCAGAGACCAAGCGAAAGUGAUAAGUUAGCCACCUGGGGAGUACGCUCGCAAAAGUGAAACUCAAAGGAAUUGACGGGGGCCCGCACAAGCGGUGGAUUAUGUGGUUUAAUUCGAUGAUACGCGAGGAACCUUACCAAGACUUAAAUGGGAAUUGACAGCUUUAGAAAUAGAGCUUUCUUCGGACAAUUUUCAAGGUGCUGCAUGGUUGUCGUCAGCUCGUGCCGUGAGGUGUUAGGUUAAGUCCUGCAACGAGCGCAACCCCUGUCACUAGUUGCCAUCAUUCAGUUGGGGACUCUAGUGAGACUGCCUACGCAAGUAGAGAGGAAGGUGGGGAUGACGUCAAAUCAUCACGGCCCUUACGUCUUGGGCCACACACGUAAUACAAUGGCCGGUACAGAGGGCAGCUACACAGCGAUGUGAUGCAAAUCUCGAAAGCCGGUCUCAGUUCGGAUUGGAGUCUGCAACUCGACUCUAUGAAGCUGGAAUCGCUAGUAAUCGCGCAUCAGCCAUGGCGCGGUGAAAACGUUCCCGGGCCU
This 1345-nucleotide ribosomal RNA is filed under the name uncultured bacterium. RNAcentral describes it as "bacterial SSU rRNA". It matches the Rfam family "Bacterial small subunit ribosomal RNA", at positions 28 to 1381 of the family's 1533-position model. The record is from RNAcentral.